GAACACAUCAACACGCCUGUUGACGUUCACUGGGAAAGGUAUCACUUCACGAUGAGGAGCACACAGCACUCGUGGAGGCUUGUGCCGGGUGAGUGGCUUCUCUCCAGUGAUGCAGGCCACCUGGAGGCAUCGGGCCAAGUGCGUUCUUUGCCGCAAGGGCCAUAUCAAAACAGCAACACCAGCAAUGCCACCAACUCCCGACUUCAAGACAACUGGACCACAUCAGUCAUUCGCCAUAAUUAGUGUCGGCUAUGUCAUCCCCUUCUAUGCACGCCAGGGUCGAGAUCGGUCACAACUCAAAGAGAUAUGUAUGUGUGUUUACAUGCCUGCUGACUAGGGCUUGUCAUUUCGAGGACAACGACGGUUUUGUCCUUGCUCUUAGACCCCGAUUCACCAUGCGACGUGGUGUACCACGAGAGAUGCAAUCGGACAACGGUACCAAUUUCCGUGUGGCUGAUCAAGAGGUAAAAGCAGCUGUCGAGUUUCUCGACAACUUCAGACUAGCAGCAGAAAGGUCAUACCGCGACCUGGUACUUCAAGCCACCAAGUGCACCACACUUUGGUGGUGUGUUCUAGGUAAUGGCCAAGGCAAUGAAACUAGUGCUGCAUGAAGACCUUCAGCUGCUAUUGCCACAACACUUUCUCAUUGGCCAUGCUAGGGCAACUAUUGCUGCUGAAGCGAACACAUCUACAAUGACUCAAGCUCACCCAAGAAAGCGCCGGGAGUUUGUGCAACGUAUUGUAGAUCAGGUAUGGAAACGUUAGCUGAAAGAGAUUGUUCCGAAGCUAAGUAUCCAAGGGAUGUGGCUGCUUCAACAGCAUCACCCUCAGGAGAUAUCGUGCUUGUGAUGGAUAAGCACACCGCAACUGCACACUAGCCACUUGGACGUGUGCUUAUGACCUAUCCAGGUGACAUAAUUCGCAUCUUUUUUGGCGCUACACUCUGCGUAUAUACUGCUCUUGUGUGGCUUCCACGGUAUUCAUUGUUAUUACCUGAUGAUGGCCAAGUGCCGAAACGUUGUAAAAUAACGGAACUGGUUCGGAUGUGAUAUGCAGCGCUAUGGGAAUGGGUGUGUCCACCCGAAUUCUUUUCAAUAAUUAUAACAUUGCACCAAACUGACCGACAGUACUGACGUUCUACAACAAACUGGCUAUGAGCUCUAGCACGUCUUGUAGGUCCUUGGUCCUUUUCUUCCAUCCGAGUUUUCAAAUUCAAGUCUUCAUAUUUAAUUGCCAUUGUUUUUGUCAUGUUUUUCUUCUUGUUGUCUUCGUCUUUUACUCACUCAUGUGAUAUUUAUCACUUUUCUUUCACGAGGGAGAUAUGUUAGAUUUAAUAUCCUAUUUCUGUGUAAUUUACAUGUACUACUGUGUUCAAUGGUGGUGAACCACGAUGCAUUGAUCAUCAUGAAUGCAUGUGACAUGCGUCACAGAUCUGGUUUCUAUUGCUUGCAUUUAUUACGCCUGACUGCUUUCCGCCGUGGAUUUGCAUUCACAACUAAAUGUACAAUUAUUUCUGCAUGGCUACAUGCAUGUACGAUGCAAUGCUGUUAAAAUUUAUGUUGUUGCCUGUUCA
Sycon ciliatum is the source of this 1573-nucleotide long non-coding RNA. RefSeq lists it as uncharacterized. The transcript has 2 exons. The record is from RefSeq and is a predicted model, not a curated record. NCBI's taxonomy places the organism in Eukaryota, Metazoa, Porifera, Calcarea, Leucosolenida, Sycettidae.